This 119-nucleotide ribosomal RNA is filed under the name Triticum aestivum (bread wheat). Lineage: Eukaryota; Viridiplantae; Streptophyta; Magnoliopsida; Poales; Poaceae. The record is from RNAcentral.
GGAUGCGAUCAUACCAGCACUAAAGCAUCGGAUCCCAUCAGAACUCCGAAGUUAAGCGUGCUUGGGCGAGAGUAGUACUAUGAUGGGUGACCUCCUGGGAAGUCCUCGUGUUGCAUUCC